Long non-coding RNA from Oncorhynchus nerka (sockeye salmon), 3778 nucleotides. RefSeq lists it as uncharacterized. The record is from RefSeq and is a predicted model, not a curated record. NCBI's taxonomy places the organism in Eukaryota, Metazoa, Chordata, Actinopteri, Salmoniformes, Salmonidae. The transcript has 2 exons.
UUCGCCAAGUAUCUCACAAUGGGUAUAUUUAGAUUUUUUAAAGUCAGACACCAUUUUAAUCAGGAAAAUCACCUCCUUCUAAUGACAUACGGUUGGGCAGUGUACUCUGCUGUCAUCGAUCGCUAGAUUAGAAAUUGUCUUUUUUCUCUCUACCUCUUUGUUAUGCACACUUGGCACCAUAAAGGUUCUGCAGUCUCUCCCGUGGUUGUCUGGGCGCAGCUGGGGCAGAAGAGGAAGCAACCCCUGCUGGUCUAUGAGACUUUGUGCGACCUAACUGGCCUGGCGUGUUAAGGUGCCCUAUAAGUGAAGACUGAGCAGCUCUGUGGACAUGGCUGAAGGAUGUGUGUGGUCUGAUGAAGCUGAGGGGGAAGUUCCAGCUAAGAGGACAGGAUAACACUGCCAUGGGGGCCCGCAGAGAGCUGGAUGGAAUGGUCCACUCAAAGUGGGUGAGCGAUGGGGCUGAAGCGACCAAGAUGGGGCCACCUGAUACCCCAGGUCUACCAGGAGAGAGGAAACAGUGGAUGGAGACGACAACAAUAAUGGCCCUGGCUGCCCUAGGACACCAUGUGGGAGAGCUGCUAGCUAGAAGGUAUUGGAGACCUUUAUGUUCAAGGGGACUUUGUUUGUUUUUAGUAAAUAUGGGGUGUUUAUUUAAAAAAGUGCUUUUGCUAACCGGUGUGUGAAACAUAAUGUGUCAUUUUGCAGUGUUUUCACUCACUCUGCGAGGAAACUCUCAUUUUAAAGUGGGUGAGAAUGUCACAGGAGUCACUACUUUACAUGUGUAACAAUCAAGCAUUCCUAUUGGAUGGUUAAUGUGUCAAGUGAUUGAAUUGUGUAUUUAAAUCCCCCUUCCCCACAGGAAGGGGUGUAGUCCAGAGGCAUGGUGGAUCCUUGUUGCAACAGAGCUUAUGACCUGCCAUUGGCAUUAAACAAAGCCUGUGUGUACAUGCAUGCUGAUGAUUCAACCAUAUACGUGUUAGCAACCACAGCUAAUGAAGUCACUGAAAUUCUUAACAAGGAGUUGCAGUCAGUUUUGGAAUGGGUGGCGAGACAAUAAACUGGGGUUGAACAUCCCUACAACUAAGAGCAUUGUAUUUGGUACAAAUUAUUCCCUAAAUUCUAGACCUCAACUGAAUCUGGUAAUGGUGUGGCUGUUGAACAAGUUGAGGAGACUAAAUUACUUGGUGUUACCUUAGAUUGUAAACUGUCAUGGUCAAAUAAUAUAGAUUCAAUGGUUGUAAAGAUGGAGAGGUCUGUCCAUACUAAAGAGAUGACACCAGACUCAAAAAAGCAAGUCCUGCAGGCUCUAGUUUUUGCUUAUCUUGAUUAUUGUCCAGUCAUGUGGUCAAGUGCUGCAAAGAAAGACCUAGUUGAGCUGCAGCUGGCCCAGAACAUAGUGGCAUGUUUUUUUUAUUUAACUAGGCAAGCCCGUUAAGAACAAAUUCUUAUUUAUAAUGACAGCCUACACUAGCCAACUGCACCACCCUACGGGUACUGCCAAACACCACUGGUUGUGUUACAGCCAGGUGGCCCAGGGUAUCUGCAGUGAUGCCUCCAGCAUUGAGAUGCGGUGCCUUAGACCACUGCACCACUUGGGAGCUCAAUAUUAGAACAGUUAAUUCCCAUAACGGGAGUCAAACCUGGGCCACCUGGGUGAAAACCAGGAAUCCUAACCGCUAGACCAUAUGGGAACCAAUCAUGUCUUGCUCUUCAUUGUAAUCAGAGGGCUAAUAUAAAUACUAUGCAUACCAGUCUCUAUUGGCUAAGAGUUGAGGAGAGACUGACUGUCACUUCUUUUUAUAAGAAACGUGAAAAUUGUUUGCAUAGUCAACUUACACACAGCUCUGAUACACACAUUUACCCCACCAGACAUGCCACCAGGGGUCUUUUCACAGACCCCAAAUCCAAAACAAAUUCAAGAAAGCGUACUGUAUUAUAUAAAGCCGUUAUUGUAUGGAACUCCCUUCCAUCUCAUAUUGCUCAAAAGAACAGCAAAACCUAGUUUAAAAAAACAGAAAGCAAUUCCUCUCCCCCUUUUGACCUAGAAAUUGUGUGUAUGUAUUGAUAUAUAGGCUAUGUGUGCCGUUUUUAAAUGUAUGUAGUUCUGUCGUUGAGCUGUUUUUGUCAAUAAAUGUUCUGUAUAAUGUUAUGUUUUGUGUGGACCCCAGGAAGAGUAGCUGCUGCUUCCGCAACAGGUAAUGGGGAUCCUAAUAAAAUACCAAAUUAAGCUUCAAUCAAUUCUGCCUCACGCCCCACCACUACAGAGUUUAGUUAGCUUAUUAGUUAGCUGUAAAAGGUGUUAGUGUUAUUAGCCUAUUUAGCGCUAACCAGCUAAUCUGCCAAUGCCACAAUGGAUAUCGGAAAUCAAACCAUCGAAGAUGCCGCCAAGCCCAGCAGCAAUGAUGGUGCUGAGCUCCAUAUGCUGAGCUCCAGAGCCCCCCCCAUUCACAUAUGCCGCCAGGAUAAUGGCUCCACAGUCCCCUCCACCCCUGACUGUUCCUGACAAUCUUGGAAGAGGAGCCAGCCCAGAUUAGCCUAGAAUCCUACCAUAACAACAUGUUUUCUGUCCAAAAACAUUAAUUUAAUAUCAACUGCUUCAUAGGAGGAGAGUGGCUGGAAUACUCAGUUACUGCAAAUGCUGUAUUUUUGUUCCAAUGUCGAAAGUUCUGUAUUGGGUGCAUUGCUAAUGCAGACAAGGCCUUCACCCAAAGCGGGUAUUCUAACUAGAAGCAUGCUUUUGAUGAAACCAAGGGAUUCGCUAGGCACGCAUCAAGCAUGGAGCAUUUGAAAUGCACUGCACUGUGGAAAGAAAAACUAAUUGUAUUCAGUUGCAUUCACAUAGGCUGUUUGUAAUAGGUGAAUUACCCCAUCUAUCUUGUAGCCUAUAUUCAUUGGCAAAUAGUAAGGCGCUGUCCAUUGUGCUGAUACAGUGCAGCGGAGAUGGGUUUAUAGAUUUCGCGACAACCUGUCACUUCAAAAGCACUCAAUGGUCUCAGAGUUUUGGCAUUUUAACUUUGUUUGUGGUAUAGCGUGAUAUAAUCAGAAUUCAAUACAUUUCCAAUGCAAGAACCCCCCCCCCUGUGUCCCCUCACCGAUUUCAACUGUCCCCUUAGUCACUUUAACUUGCCGCAGGGUCUGUGCUGUAUGCCUGGGAGAAUCUCGAUGCCCUUUUCUGAAAUAGAUUUGGUCAACUCUUGCGAACUCUCUCCCGUCCUCUCUAACCUCCUUUUGAAAAAGGUCAAAAGGUAAUUGAGGAGGCCGCUAGGAGAGGGAUCGUGGACGAAGAUGCGGUUGUUUGAAAUCAGACUCUCCUUUUCCAAUCGCGCGUCAUAAAUGUAUAAAGUAGUUGUGCAAGACAUUUUAUAGAUAAAAGGAUCAUUAGCAUAUUGUUUUUAAAUGGUUGCAUGCUUUUCUACUUCGAGUAAACAAUGGCUGAUUCAAAGGGGGUGUAAAAAGAUUUCCAAUCUCUUCCGCGAAGGACUCAGGUUGUGCUUCCUCGCCAAUAGCAGGCUAUUGAGGAGGGGACCGUGUUCUGUUUUUCCACUAAUGAACUGAAACAUUCCUCGACCACUUAUCGGUUUCCGGCUCACUGAGGAGUUUGCCCAAAGGAGAACUCCAAUUGCAUACUCAUGUCCUCUCUCCUCACCUCCUUCUCAAAGAGAAAAAGGGUAUACAGAAAUGAAGCAUUCUAAGUGAAUUGUGAAAACGAGUUGAGAAUGUGUUGAAACUUGAUUACAGAAACGAAACCAUGUCUUAUGAAAAUAAAUGUUGAAAACUG